Molecule: ribosomal RNA, 492 nt
Filed under: uncultured bacterium
Lineage: Bacteria
Description: partial 16S ribosomal RNA
Rfam family: Bacterial small subunit ribosomal RNA
Source: RNAcentral
AGUGAACGCUGGCGGUAGGCCUAACACAUGCAAGUCGAACGGCAGCACAGUAAGAGCUUGCUCUUACGGGUGGCGAGUGGCGGACGGGUGAGGAAUACAUCGGAAUCUACUUUUUCCUGGGGGAUAACGUAGGGAAACUUACGCUAAUACCGCAUACGACCUACGGGUGAAAGCAGGGGAUCUUCGGACCUUGCGCGAUUGAAUGAGCCGAUGUCGGAUUAGCUAGUUGGCGGGGUAAAGGCCCACCAAGGCGACGAUCCGUAGCUGGUCUGAGAGGAUGAUCAGCCACACUGGAACUGAGACACGGUCCAGACUCCUACGGGAGGCAGCAGUGGGGAAUAUUGGACAAUGGGCGCAAGCCUGAUCCAGCCAUACCGCGUGGGUGAAGAAGGCCUUCGGGUUGUAAAGCCCUUUUGUUGGGAAAGAAAAGCAGCAGGUUAAUACCCCGCUGUUCUGACGGUACCCAAAGAAUAAGCACCGGCUAACUUCGUG